RNAcentral lists this transfer RNA (76 nucleotides) under Sulfuricurvum kujiense. RNAcentral's name for it is "tRNA-Glu". It matches the Rfam family "tRNA". Rfam says of the family: Transfer RNA (tRNA) molecules are approximately 80 nucleotides in length. Lineage: Bacteria; Pseudomonadati; Campylobacterota; Epsilonproteobacteria; Campylobacterales; Sulfurimonadaceae. The record is from RNAcentral. RNAcentral also lists the same sequence under 27 other names.
GACCCUUUCGUCUAGUGGCCAAGGACACUAUCACUUCAUGGUAGGAACAGAGGUUCAAAUCCUUUAGGGGUCGCCA